RNAcentral lists this ribosomal RNA (205 nucleotides) under Dorea longicatena. RNAcentral's name for it is "partial 16S ribosomal RNA". It matches the Rfam family "Bacterial small subunit ribosomal RNA", at positions 1 to 186 of the family's 1533-position model. The record is from RNAcentral. Lineage: Bacteria; Bacillati; Bacillota; Clostridia; Lachnospirales; Lachnospiraceae.
UUUUAACGAGAGUUUGAUCCUGGCUCAGGAUGAACGCUGGCGGCGUGCUUAACACAUGCAAGUCGAGCGAAGCGCUUAGGUUUGAUUCUUCGGAUGAAGACCUUUGUGACUGAGCGGCGGACGGGUGAGUAACGCGUGGGUAACCUGCCUCGUACAGGGGGAUAACAGUUAGAAAUGACUGCUAAUACCGCAUAAGACCACGGUA